Long non-coding RNA from Rosa rugosa (rugosa rose), 793 nucleotides. RefSeq lists it as uncharacterized. The record is from RefSeq and is a predicted model, not a curated record. The transcript is spliced from 3 exons. Lineage: Eukaryota; Viridiplantae; Streptophyta; Magnoliopsida; Rosales; Rosaceae.
CUUCUAAAGAUGCAACCCCCUUAUGAACAGUAACUCCCCCUUAUGAAUAGUGUGCUGACGACUUUACCCCUGCCUGUCUCAAGUAAAUCUCAAUUGCCCCGGAGUGUUGUGCUGUCUCUUUCUGGCCAUCUGCCGUGUUGUUCUGUUGCCACGAAGAGAGAGGGUUCGAUCAGUAGCGUAAAAGAGAGAGGUACAGUAUCGAUUUGAUCCAAAGAGACAUAAAAAGAGAGAGAUAGAGAGAGGGCGAGGAGUUUGCAUGACCGGCGAUUUCAGCUGUUUUGGCGCGGAGAUUUUGGUUGUCGUUUGCUGACGAGUUGUUUACUAUUUGGUUGGAGCGCAAGAAUUCUUUAGCUGGUAAUUUUUUUCUUUGUCAAUAAUGUUUGUGUUGAUUUGUUGGUUUGAUUGCAGUCUGAAGUAAUUCCCUCUGAUGUUCUUAAUUUGCUGAAAAGAAAAAGUAGGAUUGUUUGAGGUUCAAUCUUCUCAGGAGUAUUUGGUUGGGAACAAACAAAGAAAGGAAGUAGGAUCAAUAUUCCGGAACCUCUCCUUCUGGAAAAAUAGGUCCAAUGAUGGCUGGAAUUUAAGGUCCACCUGACCCGAUCCCAACAUCAAGUAGAUCUUGGUAAGAAUUUUUCAAUUUUCUACCUACAGGACAUCUCAAUGUGCAUGCAUCCCUAAAUUACAGUGUUAACCUAUCUUAAGUUUAUGGAAUGUUUACUCAUCAUUUAAGUCAUCAACUGUGAAAAAGGCUAGCACUAGGCGCUACCAAAGGUUUUUUUUUUUUUUUUUUUGCAAA